AUUGAACGCUGGCGGCAGGCCUAACACAUGCAAGUCGAACGGUAACAGGAAGCAGCUUGCUGCUUUGCUGACGAGUGGCGGACGGGUGAGUAAUGUCUGGGAAACUGCCUGAUGGUGGGGGAUAACUACUCGAAAGAGUAGCUAAUACCGCAUACGAUCUACGGAUGAAAGCGGGGGAUCGCAAGACCUCGCGCGGACGAAGCGGCCGAUGGCAGAUUAGGUAGUUGGUGGGAUAAAGGCUUACCAAGCCGACGAUCUGUAGCUGGUCUGAGAGGACGACCAGCCACACUGGGACUGAGACACGGCCCAG
Molecule: ribosomal RNA, 310 nt
Filed under: uncultured bacterium
Lineage: Bacteria
Description: bacterial SSU rRNA
Rfam family: Bacterial small subunit ribosomal RNA
Source: RNAcentral